This 198-nucleotide ribosomal RNA is filed under the name uncultured bacterium. RNAcentral describes it as "partial 16S ribosomal RNA". It matches the Rfam family "Bacterial small subunit ribosomal RNA", at positions 328 to 539 of the family's 1533-position model. The record is from RNAcentral.
ACGCUCGACACCUACGGGAGACAGCAGUGGGGAAUAUUGCACAAUGGGCGAAAGCCUGAUGCAGCAACGCCGCGUGAGCGAAGAAGGCCUUCGGGUCGUAAAGCUCUGUCCUCAAGGAAGAUAAUGACGGUACUUGAGGAGGAAGUCCCGGCUAACUACGUGCCAGCAGCCGUGGUAAUCUGAGCGGGCUGGCAAGGC